GAAAAGAAACCAACAGGGAUUGCCUCAGUAACGGCGAGUGAAGCGGCAAAAGCUCAGAUUUGAAAUCUGGCGUCAUUUUGGCGUCCGAGUUGUAAUCUGUAGAGGAGUAUUCGAGUGUGGAUUUGGCUUAAGUUCCUUGGAACAGGACGUCAUAGAGGGUGAGAACCCCGUUAACGGCCUAUGUCUUAUGCUCAUGUGAAUCUCCUUCAACGAGUCGAGUUGUUUGGGAAUGCAGCUCUAAAUGGGUGGUAAAUUCCAUCUAAAGCUAAAUACUGGCAAGAGACCGAUAGCGCACAAGUAGAGUGAUCGAAAGAUGAAAAGAACUCUGAACAGAGAGUUAAAUAGUACGUGAAAUUGUUGAAAGGGAAGCACUUGCUACCAGACACGCCUGUAGUUGAUCAACCUUCAUUUUUGAUGGUGCACUCGGCUAUAGGUGGGUCAGCAUCAGUUACAACGGUGGGAUAAAGGCCUUGGGAAUGUAGCUUCCUUCGGGAAGUGUUAUAGCCCUUGGUGUAAUACCAUCUGAUGUGACUGAGGCCCGCGCUUCGGCGAGGAUGCUGGCAUAAUGGUCGUAAGUGACCCGUCUUGAAACACGGACCAAGGAGUCUAACAUCUAUGCGAGUGUUUGGGCGUCAAAACCCUUACGCGGAAUGAAAGUGAAUGAAGGUGGGAACCGCAAGGUGCACCAUCGACCGAUCCUGAUGUUUUCGGAUGGAUUUGAGUAGGAGCAUAGCUGUUGGGACCCGAAAGAUGGUGAACUAUGCCUGAAUAGGGUGAAGCCAGAGGAAACUCUGGUGGAGGCUCGCAGCGGUUCUGACGUGCAAAUCGAUCGUCAAAUUUGGGUAUAGGGGCGA
This 854-nucleotide ribosomal RNA is filed under the name Geoscypha tenacella. RNAcentral describes it as "partial large subunit ribosomal RNA". It matches the Rfam family "Eukaryotic large subunit ribosomal RNA", at positions 56 to 926 of the family's 3401-position model. The record is from RNAcentral. Lineage: Eukaryota; Fungi; Ascomycota; Pezizomycetes; Pezizales; Pezizaceae.